Molecule: ribosomal RNA, 731 nt
Filed under: Eudorina cylindrica
Lineage: Eukaryota; Viridiplantae; Chlorophyta; Chlorophyceae; Chlamydomonadales; Volvocaceae
Description: eukaryotic LSU rRNA
Rfam family: 5.8S ribosomal RNA (bases 293-446)
Source: RNAcentral
GUAGGUGAACCUGCGGAAGGAUCAUUGAAUCUAUAUCAAUCCACAACCGUGAACAAUAACGUUGGCCACCCAAUUAAUAAUUAAUUAUUAAUUGGGUUGAGGAUUGUACGAGCCUUUAUAUUAAGGCUCAUGCAUGACUCAGUCGCUUCUCCGCUGUCUGUCGUAUAAAUUAAUUAAUUCAUUUAUAAGGCUUACAUGAGCGGCGUCGGUCUCUUACUAACCAACCAACACCAAACCUUAACCAAAUUAAAUUCGAGUGUCUAGCUUAGAGCUAGCGCUCACUAACCAAGACAACUCUCAACAACGGAUAUCUUGGCUCUCAGAUCGAUGAAGAACGCAGCGAAAUGCGAUACGUAGUGUGAAUUGCAGAAAUACGUGAAUCAUCGAAUCUUUGAACGCAAAUUGCGCUCGAGGCUUCGGCCAAGAGCAUGUCUGCCUCAGCGUCGGGUUAAUACUCAUUCGUACUCACACUAAUCUAAUUAAUGUGGGUGAGAGUGGAACUGGCUGUCUCGGUUAUUAAUUAAUUAAUUAAUUAUUAACCGGGUCAGCUGAAGUACAGAUAUUGUACCAUGGACCGUUAAACGGGCCUCUACUGGGUAGGCAAUUCGUUGCUGCAAUGCUUUAGUAGAUGGCUUGGGUGCUGUGUACGAUACGAAACAGGAAUACGACUCGUCGUAUUAAAACCCUAUUUUCUCGACCUGAGCUCAGGCAAGAUUACCCGCUGAACUUAA